This 201-nucleotide long non-coding RNA is filed under the name Vigna radiata. RNAcentral's name for it is "long non-coding RNA (VRAD_LNC013120)". Lineage: Eukaryota; Viridiplantae; Streptophyta; Magnoliopsida; Fabales; Fabaceae. The record is from RNAcentral.
GAAGAUCAAAAGCCUUUGUGUGAUCCUUGCAGUGAAAUCUUCAAGUCUACCUGUUCAAUUUCUCAAAAUGAGUAAGUUAGUUUCUCUCGUUUCAGAUUUUCCAAUGUAUGUGAUAUUUGGUUUUGUCGCAUGUAUUGUUUGAGUCUUAUUUUAGGUUCUUUACUGAUCAAUUAUUCUAACGGUGUACCCUGAUCAUGAUUU